CCUACGGGAGGCUGCAGUGGGGAAUAUUGGGCAAUGGAGGCAACUCUGACCCAGCAACGCCGCGUGAAUGAUGAAGGUCUUCGGAUUGUAAAGUUCUGUGAUGGGGGAUGAACACAAUGACGGUACCACAAUAGCAAGCCACGGCUAACUAUGUGCCAGCAGCCGCGGCAAUACGUAGGUGGCAAGCGUGAUCCGGAAUGACUGGGCGUAAGGGGUGCGUAGGGGGUUUAGUAAGUUGGCGGUGUAAGUCCGGGGCUCAACCUCGGCGCUACCGCCAAAACUAUUAGUCUUGAGUUCAGGAGGGGUGAGUGGAAUUCCUAGUGUAGCGGUGGAAUGCGUAGAUAUUAGGAGGAACAUCAGGGGCGAAGGCGACUUACUGGACUGUAACUGACACUGAGGCACGAAAGCGUGGGUAGCAAACAGGAUUAGAUACCCGGGUAGUC
This 443-nucleotide ribosomal RNA is filed under the name uncultured bacterium. Its description in RNAcentral is "partial 16S ribosomal RNA". It matches the Rfam family "Bacterial small subunit ribosomal RNA", at positions 338 to 795 of the family's 1533-position model. The record is from RNAcentral.